CUCUCUUAGCGGUGGAUCACUCGGCUCGUGCGUCGAUGAAGAACGCAGCUAGCUGCGAGAAUUAAUGUGAAUUGCAGGACACAUUCAUCAUUAUUUUUUUUUUUUAUAUUUGGACCAAUGAAA
RNAcentral lists this ribosomal RNA (123 nucleotides) under Salvator merianae (Argentine black and white tegu). RNAcentral's name for it is "5.8S ribosomal RNA (ENSSMRG00000006097.1)". It matches the Rfam family "5.8S ribosomal RNA". From Rfam's summary of the family: 5.8S ribosomal RNA (5.8S rRNA) is a component of the large subunit of the eukaryotic ribosome. The record is from RNAcentral. Lineage: Eukaryota; Metazoa; Chordata; Lepidosauria; Squamata; Teiidae.